GUAGGGAAUAUUGGGCAAUGGGCGGAAGCCUGACCCAGCCAUGCCGCGUGCAGGACGAAGGCCUUCUGGGUUGUAAACUGCUUUUAUCAGGGAAGAAAACACCCAUGCGUGGGGAACUGACGGUACCUGAGGAAUAAGCACCGGCUAACUCCGUGCCAGCAGCCGCGGUAAUACGGAGGGUGCAAGCGUUGUCCGGAUUUAUUGGGUUUAAAGGGUGCGUAGGCGGCCUUUUAAGUCAGCGGUGAAAGCCCGGGGCUCAACCCCGGAACCGCCGUUGAUACUGGGAGGCUUGAGUACAGACGAGGUAGGCGGAAUUGAGGGUGUAGCGGUGAAAUGCUUAGAUACCCUCAAGAACACCGAUUGCGUAGGCAGCUUACUAGGCUGUAACUGACGCUGAGGCACGAAAGCGUGGGGAGCGAACAGGAUUAGAAACCCUAGUAGUCC
This 444-nucleotide ribosomal RNA is filed under the name uncultured bacterium. RNAcentral's name for it is "bacterial SSU rRNA". It matches the Rfam family "Bacterial small subunit ribosomal RNA", at positions 354 to 796 of the family's 1533-position model. The record is from RNAcentral.